GGUUCCGCCAUUUGAAAAAAAACGUUCGUAACUGCUCAGCUGAACCCGAAGCUUGAUGAAGAAGGCCGUCAAUAUUUCAACAAAAACUAACAGAAUAUGGAUCAGAUUCGGACAACGACUUCUUAAGACAUUCACACAACAGGCUAAACAAUUCAAAGAGGGAUCUCUGGAUGAUCGAGCAGCAAGUCCAGCAUUAUGUGGGAAAGAUACUACAUGUGUACACAGAAAAGGCCAUGUUCUUGUACAAGACACGGUUGGAGUUCAUAAAAGAUUAAGCUGCCUCGUGCUAUACAGACUUGGAUAAAAACAAGCUGUCCAAUGAAUGGUGACUACUCAAGAGGAGCCAGAAAGUCAACUAAAGCCAGGGUAUUUUGGGAGUUGAUAUGGCCGGGGAAGGGGGGAGGGGGGGUUUCCAGGGCCCCCCCCCCCCUUCCUUGAGAUCUUGACCGCACAAUCGCGUCUAACAUUGGCACAUGGGUUGUCUAGGGCAUAAUUUACAAAAUUAAAUUGUAAAUUAUUUCACGCAAAUUGUUAGUAAGUGAUAAUACUAAUUUAUGCGUAAUUAGAAUACAAAAUCAUACUUUUUCCUCUAUUGCAUUGACUUUGUACACAAAAUCACGUUUUUGAGCAAUUUUUGGUAUGACAUGUACUUACAUAAUGUCACGUUAUUACAGAACCACGUACCGGGUGACACAAGAUUGGUCUCAAAAGAUGCACAAGACUAGAAAGAGGCAUGUUUUAAAAAAAUUGUGCGACAGCAUGGUCGCCAAAUUUUUGGAAGGGGGGGGGGUCAAAUUGGUCCAAUUUAACUAAGGGUUAAUAACUGGGAGGCUGUUAGCUGCCUUUUUACUUUCAAGUCUUGCACAUCUUUUGAGACCAAAUUUGUGAUGCCUGGGUACGCUGUUCCGAAAUUUCGCAACAUUUUUAUGUAUUAAUCCAACACAAAUACUGUUUCUUGCUAAAAUUCACAAUUAGUAUACCAGUAAUAUACAUUUAUCAAGUCAAAUUAUUUAAUUACAUUUAUAAUCAUAAAAGCUUUGAUAAAGUAUAAAAAAAAACAAAGAGUUGUAUGUAGGCCUGGGACUUUCGGGUUUUUUCUCUUCGGGUACCCGUGGUAAUUUUCGGGUGGGUACCUGAAAAUCAUGUCACUUGAAAUAUGACUGGUGGAAAAACCCCAUAGGUGACGUCAUCAAGCCAAUGCGAUGCAAGCCAAUUUAUGAAUGAAAAUAUAGUAAGCAUGCGCAUUGCAAGCCUCCUGUGCCCCACGCAGUAUUCCAUCGAAACAAGUUUCAAUACUCUGUCACCUCGUACCAAAAUCGACCUAGAAUUCCACUUUCCUAUAUAUCAUAUGAAUUAUAAAAGGUUUUCUCACCGAUACUGCACAGGUAAGCAAAUUUUUAUUCUUGCUUUUCCGUCAAAAUCUUACGAAGUAGCAUCGAUAUUACAUCGUGUUCGUGAGUUUGUAUCGCUACGUGAACAAAGUCAAUUGAUUUCCGGGUUUCGGAGCGUCAAAUGCGCCAGCCAAUCACGAUCGUGUUCCCAUUUUCGGUUUAUGAUGAACUAAAAAUGGUAACAAGAACGUGAUUGGCUGGUGCUUCGUAGGUCGAUUUUGGUAUGAGGUGACAGAGUAUUGCAGACUUGUUUUGACGUAAUACUGCGUGGGGCUGAGGCUUGCAAUGCGCAUGCUUACUAUAUUUUCAUUCAUAAAUUGGUUUGCGUCGCAGUGGCUGGAUGACGUCACUGCGCUGCAAAAGAAACAUGGCGAUGAUUGAACGAUCUCGGUCACAUCAUCAUCACUUGAAAACUUGUAUAUUUAUGGAUAUUUAGAGGGUAAUUGGUGAAAUUCAAAAUGAGGCUUGUGUACUUUUGUAAUGAGUUACAAUCAUGUCUUACACUACGCAAUACAAAUCAAAUACAUGUACAUUAUACUGGUGAGCAAUUUUCGGGUAUCGGGUAUUGAUUUUUCUACUCGGGUACCCGGGUUUUAGUCCCAGCCCUAGUUGUAUGAAAAUUUUCAAAAAUAAUGAAAGGUAAAAGAAAACAAGAUUACAAUGUCCAUUGCAAGGGGGCUAGUCUAGCUAUUCAGGAUAAUUGGGAUUUUAUUCAGUUUUUAAUUGACAUAACAUUAUGACAAGAUCCCUCCAUUUAGUGUAUAAACAGCACAUGGCCGUGAUUGAAAUUCAUAUAACAUUAAAGUAUGCAAACCAGGCAGCUACAUGUACAUGUAGGACUCACUGCUUGUCAAUUCUAUUGUCUGCCAGGGUCAAGUGACAUACAGUGCACAUGUAUAACAUGUGUGAAAGUACAUAAGAAAAUCAGCUUUUUAUUUUUGUACUGUAACAUUGGGUGAACUGGUGAUCACUUUGGAUAUGAUGCUCUUCAUAUUGGUUUAUUUUAUGUAUAUGAAUUUUUGGAUAAUCAUUAAGAAUUAAAGCCAUUUACUUAAUAUAUGGAAGCAUAAGCCCAUCAAAGAACAGAAUUAUGUCAUGUACAGCUAAUUCAUUUUGCGUGAUAUUACAAUUGUAAUUGUUUACUUGAGCAAGUAAUUUGAAUUGCUGCAUGACCUAAACAAUGACAUGUUCCAAUUCGAAUAGUAACAUGACCUAAAGAAGAGUUACUCCACCUCGAUUGA
Molecule: long non-coding RNA, 2632 nt
Organism: Lytechinus pictus (painted urchin)
Lineage: Eukaryota; Metazoa; Echinodermata; Echinoidea; Temnopleuroida; Toxopneustidae
Exons: 3
Source: RefSeq, a predicted model, not a curated record